AAGUCGUAACAAGGUUUCCGUAGGUGAACCUGCGGAAGGAUCAUUCAUAAUCGAGUGUUUUAUGGCACUCUUUAAAAAAUCCAUAUCCACCUUGUGUGCAACGUUUUUGAACUCUCUCUGGCGUUAAAAAACCAAGAGGGUUUGAUUAACUUAACUUAACACCUUUAAAGCAGUUUGUCUGAAUAUCUAUUUCUGAAUAAACAUAAUUCAAAAAUACAACUUUCAACAACGGAUCUCUUGGCUCUC
Molecule: unclassified non-coding RNA, 246 nt
Filed under: Mortierella polygonia
Lineage: Eukaryota; Fungi; Mortierellomycota; Mortierellomycetes; Mortierellales; Mortierellaceae
Also listed under: 4 other names
Description: partial internal transcribed spacer region
Rfam family: Eukaryotic small subunit ribosomal RNA (bases 1-46)
Source: RNAcentral